RNAcentral lists this ribosomal RNA (497 nucleotides) under uncultured bacterium. RNAcentral describes it as "partial 16S ribosomal RNA". It matches the Rfam family "Bacterial small subunit ribosomal RNA", at positions 28 to 507 of the family's 1533-position model. The record is from RNAcentral.
GAUGAACGCUGGCGGCGUGCCUAAUACAUGCAAGUCGAGCGAACAGAUGAGGAGCUUGCUCCUCUGACGUUAGCGGCGGACGGGUGAGUAACACGUGGAUAACCUACCUAUAAGACUGGGAUAACUUCGGGAAACCGGAGCUAAUACCGGAUAAUAUAUUGAACCGCAUGGUUCAAUAGUGAAAGACGGUUUUGCUGUCACUUAUAGAUGGAUCCGCGCCGCAUUAGCUAGUUGGUAAGGUAACGGCUUACCAAGGCAACGAUGCGUAGCCGACCUGAGAGGGGGAUAGGCCACACUGGAACUGAGACACGGUCCAGACUCCUACGGGAGGCAGCAAUAGGGAAUCUUCCGCAAUGGGCGAAAGCAUGACGGAGCAACGCCGCGUGAGUGAUGAAGGUCUUCGGAUCGUAAAACUCUGUUAUUAGGGAAGAACAAAUGUGUAAGUAACUAUGCACGUCUUGACGGUACCUAAUCAGAAAGCCACGGCUAACUACGUG